CAGCCACUUCUUACAGCUCUUCCGGGGGGAUCCCGAGGCUUUCCCAGGCCAGCUGAAAGACGUAGUCUCUCCAGCAUGUCCUGGGUCGUCCCCGGGGUCUCUUCCCGGUGGGACGUGCCCGGAACACCUCACCAGAGAGGCGUCCGGGAGGCAUCCGAAUCAGAUGCCCCAGCCACCUCAUCUGGCUCCUCUCAAUGCGGAGGAGCAGCGGCUCUACUCUGAGCCCCUCCCGGAUGACCGAGCUUCUCACCCUAUCGCUAAGGGAGAGCCCGGACACCCUGCGGAGGAAACUCAUUUUGGCCGCCUGUAUCCGGGAUCUUGUUCUUUCGGUCACGACCCACAGCUCGUGACCAUAGGUGAGGGUAGGACCGUAGAUCGACCGGUAAAUUGAGAGCUUCGUCUUUCGGCUUAGCUCCUUCUUCACCACAAUGGAUCGAUACAAAUUCCGCAUCACUACAGAUGCUGCACCGAUCCGUCUGUCGAUCUCACGUUCCAUUCUUCCCUCACUCGUGAACUAGACCCCAAGAUACUUGAACUCCUCCACUUGGGGCAGCAUGACAUCCCCUACCUGGACAGGGCACGCCACCCUUUCCGACUGAGGACCAUGGUCUCAGAUUUGGAGGUGCUGAUUCUCAUCCCAGCCGCUUCACACUCGGCUGUGAACUGCUCCAGUGAGAUCGGGGCCGACAAUCUUAAAUAAUGAGCGUGUCACAUCUCCCAAGUCAUGAUGCCGAGAAUUGUGACGUGAACCGGAAUGUAGCCAAUCAAAGAAGUGUCCUAUCCUGAUGAACACGGAAAUUAGCGUAAAUUAAAACAAACGCGUUUUAGCAGAUUUUGUUUUAUUUUGUAUAAAAGUGAGUUCCCCAGGCGGCAAGAAGUAUUUUCCAAAGCAAGUUUUUUUUUUUUUUUUUAAUCUCUCUACACCACUUCUGCCUCCAUUCCCUUCGGCAUCACUCAGCAAAGAUCUGCGCAUACCCGCAGGUGUCUGACUGUCUUCGUUUUUGUGAGAUUACGUGUGAUCAUGCAAGAUUUCAAGAUCGGUGGUGGAACAGAAUCCUUAUGUGUGUGUUGUUUUGUGUUGAGAGUUUUAGAACACAGCACACACAAUUCAAUUUAUCUUUAUGUGUGGGGUCUGUGAAAGAUUGAAAAAAAAAUAUUUUAAGAUUUGAAAAAUACUUUUGUGUGUACCAGGGCUUGUGUGUUAACUGUCUUUGCAGUACAGUACUCAAUUUCCUUUCGCUAAACUAAUGUUUUUGAGUCAACCUGUCCUGGAUUUUUCAUUUGACAUUUAAUCUUUCACAAUCUGGCUUGUUACAUAUGCUGACUCACAUUUGUUUGCUUCAUGUCCGCAUAGCAGAACAAAAGCCAGGAGUACGCUGGCUCUAAAGCAAUAGUCUCAAACUAAAGGCCAGUGGGCCACAUCCGGCCUGCAACAUCACUUUACGUGGUUCACUUUAGCAAAUAAAGUCAUUAUACUUAAUGUUUUUUUGCGAAUUUGUUGUUUUCACAGUAUCGCAAUAUCUAUAACCAAAUUGCAAUUUUUAUUAUUAACCAAUUUAGCAUUGUUUUGUUAGUCACUUUAUAACGUUGGCAAAACCAUGGCAACAUGUCCUUUCGAUAACAUGUCCAGUGAUUUUAUUCUUGUCAGUAGGAGCACUUUGCAAAUUAAUAAAACAGGCAAACGAUUUGAUCUGCAGAGAAUUUUCAUCCAGUAUACACAGGACUGUGCAAAAGUCUUAGGACACCACUAGCUUUGUUUUUUUUAAACCUUUUUCACAGUAGCCAAUAUGCCUUGUAAAAGGGAGGGCAGUGAAGUGUGCAUUUUGACCAUGUAAGUCAAUACGAUCCAUUGUAACUGUCCAACACCCAGAAUCAUAUUGGCACUUCCCAUCGCUAACUAACAAAUAGAUGGACAAACUGAAAUUCAAAGCUUUAUGAAUUGUUUUUACAUAUCAGAAUCUGCACUCGCGGCACGGUGGCCGACUGGUUAGAGCGUCAGCCUCACAGUUCUGAGGUGCGGGGUUCAAUCCCCGUCCCCGCCUGUGUGGAGUUUGCAUGUUCUCCCCGUGCCUGCGUGGGUUUUCUCCGGGCACUCCGGUUUCCUCCCACAUCCCAAAAACAUGCAUUAAUUGGAGACUCUAAAUUGCCCGUAGGCAUGACUGUGAGUGCGAAUGGUUGUUUGUUUCUAUGUGUCCUGCGAUUGGCUGGCAACCAGUUCAGGGUGUACCCCGCCCCUUGCCCGAUGACAGCUGGGAUAGGCUCCAGCACGCCCGCGACCCUAGUGAGGAGAAGCGGCUCAGAAAAUGGAUGGAUGGAUGGAAUCUGCACUCCUUUUUUUUACCUGACAAAAUAAAAAAAAUUCCAAAAGUGUGAGUACUUUUGCCCGCUUUUAAUUGGUGACAAAUGACCAACAUUUUUGUUAAUUUUGUAUCACGUUUGCACAGCUGUAAUAUAUUUUGUUUCCUAAGGUUCUCCAUACAUUUUUAAUUUUUUUCAAACUAGGCCACCGAGCUGCGCAUGCGCAGUGUGGAUUUUUGAGGCGGGUUCCAUCCAUUUUGCAGAUUGGGAAACAACCACAUGCCGAGGCAAUUGAGAAGUCUGUGUUAUUGCCAUUAGUUCUGCGUUAGUUCCUUGUUCUGUCCAUUAUCGAUGCCGUAUAACUAAUAAACAUCUCUCUAUAACUCCACCUCCAGUGCACUUUGAGCGUUCGCAACUUUGCUCGCUAGCUGCGAACAAAGAGACACUAAAGUGGGCGACAUUUCAACGCAAGCGGAGCUCAAGUUACAGUUCGUUACGUUCCACCUCUGGGAAAUGGCAAGGAGCUGCUGCGUCACCAACUGCCACAACUGAUUCCACGAUUACCAAGGACAACGGAUCAACCCGGGAAUCGGCUUUUAUCGGUUCCCGGCAUGGAGGAGAAACAGCACCGGGCACGUCUCUGAUGUGACCAAGAGACGACGCAUGCCGUGGAUGGCAGCGGUACGGAGGCCCAACAUCACCUUCAACCACACUCCCCCUAUAUAUGGGGGAGUGUUCAAAGCAUUUUCACAAAGGCAAACCAGCCUAUGAAAUGCUUGAACGUGAUCCUGACUGGGUGCCUUCUCUAAACCUCGCCCAUUCGGAGGCCAUCACUGCAAACCCCGUAAGGUUUCAACAUUUGAAACGGAGGGAGAUGAGAUCCCAACAACAACAACAAGCAUCUGCAGUACAAGAGAAUGAAUCCUGGCCACCCUGACUACACUGGUGAUGCAGCUCCUUUAUAUUCUGAUGUCAGUAAAGAAGAUCUUCAUCCUGAGAAGCAGAAGUGGUGGUCCAGGGUGGGGAAGCAGCCGCCAGAGCCCCCCCACGUUAAAGAGGAAGAGGAGGAGACCCAUAUCACCAUGCCUACAUUUAAUCGUGUCAUUGUGAAGAGUGAAGAUGACGACGAUGAAGAAGGUGAUGGAGACCACUGUGAUGGAUCCCAAGCAGACAGCCUCUUGGCUCCAUCAUCAGAUAGUGAAGACAGAAUAUCACACUCUCGUGACACUGAUGAUGAUGAUGAACACCCUAAAGGUGAUAUGACAUGUCACAUGGACAACAAACACUUGAAAUGCUCUCAGUGUGGGAAAACAUUUGGUAACAAGAAAAUACUGAAAAGACACAUGAUGACGCACACCGGAGAGAAACCUUUUGCAUGCUCAUUUUGCAGUAAAACAUUUUCUCAGAAGGGAAACUUGAGAACACACAUGAGAACACACACUGGAGAGAAACCCUUUUCCUGCUCAGUCUGCGACAAACGUUUUAGUGAUGGUUCAGCAUUGAUUCAACACCAGAAAACACACACUGGGGAGAAACAAUUCAUUUGCUCACUUUGUGGUAAAGGUUUCGCCCAGAAGGGAAAUUUUACUACACACACAAGAACACACACUGGAGAAAAACCUUUUUCUUGUUCAGUCUGCAGCACCUGUUUUAACGACAGUUCAGCAAUGGCGCGACACAUGAGAACACACACAGGAGAGAAACCUUUUUCCUGCUUAUUCUGUGGUAAAAGGUUCUCCCUAAAGGGGAAUUUUGUAGCACACACAAGAACACACACAGGAGAAAAACCUUAUUCCUGUUCAAUCUGCCAAACAGGUUUUAGAGUUCGUUCAGGUUUGGUUCAGCACAUGAAAAAACAUGCUAGUGUCCGUGCUUAGCUGCAGUAAGCGUGUGUCAUUUAAAACUAGCAGGUGUCUCAUUUCUGACUGCUAUUUGCUGAGUUGAAGAAUUAUUUGUUUUUCAUAGACCCUCUGCUGUGGCAGUGUUUUCCAACCUUCAUUGAUCCAAGGCACAUUAUAUAUUAUUAUUAUAAAAUCGCCCAGCACACAACCAAUCCAAAAACAUUUUUUAAAGUAUAAAUACUGAAAUAAUGAGGAUGUCGUUCAAUAAACUUACAAAUGUACUUGUACUGUUUAGUGGAACACAAAUCUAUUAUUUUGCUGUAUGAUUGGAAACUGAUGGACACGUUAAUUAUGCCUUCUGCCAUCUUUUUUAAGCGCAUUUAAUUUUUCUGCCUGUCACUCCAUAAAGGUUGCUGGCAUAGAUAGAUGAAAAAUUAUACAUCAUUUGUAGUAAGUGAAUAAUUUUCAGACCAAGUUGCUUACCUAAAGAUCUCGCAGUCUCACAACACAAUAAUGUGCCAACAAUAGUUGGCCUUCCCUGUGCUAUGAUAUGCUUUUUUGUCAUUGUAGUUGUUUUCUAUACAUACAUAUAUUAUUGCAUUUAUUUCUUUUUUUUUUAACUCUGCAGUGCUGGACUUGUCAUUAAGAAAGAAAAAAAAUCAGCUGUCACAAUGAUAUGGCCAAUAGAGUUAGUGGAGAGUAACAAUGUGUCAUGUUGACUACUUUACAAAGUCUACAAUGUAGAUGUCAAUUCAAACCAAAGGUUUUCUGAGACUGUCUGGAUCUAGUCAAAUUUUUACUUCUUCCUACACUUUUUCAGAACGGCAGUCAUGGUGUUUCAGUACAGGAUAUUUAUACCAGGAUGACAAAAUUCAUUUUGACUUUUCUACUCGGCACAUUUCAGAGUCUCCUUUUUUCAAGAGUUGAAUCAGUCUUACUUUCACCAGUCUUAUUUUUAAGACAAGUAUCUGUACUUCUAAAAGUACAGACUACAGUCUAACUACUUUUGCCACCCAUUUUGCACAUCCCUUUCAUGCCAUUAUUGCUGUCGUCUUUGUUGCUUUGUCACUGAAUCAUUUUGUACACAUCUGUUGUUGAUCAGCUCAGCUCUUAAUUAAAGCGCGAUUUUUUUUAUUAUAAUUUUUUGUAUUCAAUGGUGUCCCUCAAGGGGAAAUUUAAGUCACACUCCAAUGCAUACUUUGUGUUGCACAAUGCACAUCAUGCACAGUUAAUGAGUCUCUCUUCAAUACAGCUGUGUAGGCUAUAGAUCCUAAAUGUAUAUUUUGUUAUCGUGAUUUUUUUUUAAAUGUAGUAAUAAGGUGACAACACGUUUUAACAUAUUUGCCCCUCCCCCCCAAAAAAUGCUCUGAUUCUGAUAAAGUUCAAGAGUGUAAUGACACCUCCUCACCCGUAGGAGCGGUAGUGCUCUGAAAUGUAACGGGGCGGGACUCGCCUACCGAAAGUAAAACCAGGAAGCAAACAAUCAGUAACAUCCGGGUUUUAGUGUUCAUGCUAGCAAAAUGACUCGUUUUUUGUGUGUGUGUGUGUGUGUUUAGCAACGUAUCAUUAAAGCAAAGCUCGAGUGAAAGUGUAGUGUUGUGAAUAUCGUGUGGAAAAUGUGCAAAGUAGAAAUGCUGAGAGCAUUAUUGAAUCAGCGACUAAGUGCGGCCGUUGACGAAAUAUUUGUAGCGUUUGCAAGAACCAUAGCAGAGUACGAGGACGAACUUUCUCGGACAAAAGAGCAGAACGAGAGACAACGUCAACUACUGGACGCUGUUUUCAAGAAGCCGCAAAACGGAGAAGACAUCAGUGAAGAUCUUCAUCCUGAACUGCAGAAGUGGCGCACCACGUUGAGGCAGCGGGAGCCAGAACGCCCCCACAUUAAGUAUGAAGAUGCGGCGCUGGAGCCCUUCCAUGUUAAAGAGGAUGAGUCUAAUGUCACCAAGUUGCCAUUCACUGGUGUCAUUGUGAAGAAUGAGGAUGAUGUAGACGAAGACCACUGCAGAGGAUCCCAAGCAGACAGCCGCUUAGUUUCACAAUCAGAUUGCGACUACGUAACGUCACACUCUCCUAACACUCAUGAUGAUGAUGAUGAACACUCUAAAGGUGAUAUGACAUGUGACGUUGACAACAAACAUUUGAAAUGCUCUCAAUGUGGGAAAACCUUUGGCAUCAAGAGAAUCCUGAAAAGACACAUGAUGACUCACACUGGAGAGAAACCUUUUGCAUGCUCAUUUUGUGGUAAAAAAUUCUCUCAGAAGGGAAACCUAAGAACUCACAUAAGAACACACACUGGAGAAAAACCCUAUUCCUGCUCAGUCUGUGACAAAUGUUUUAGUGAUGGUUCAGCAUUGAUUCAACACCAGAAAACGCACACAGGGGAGAAACCUUUUUCCUGCUUAUUCUGUGGUAAAAGAUUUUCCCUAAAGGGGACUUUUGAAGCACACACAAGAACACACACGGGAGAAAAACCUUAUUCCUGUUCAAUCUGCCAAACAGAUUUUAGAGUUCGUUCAAGUUUGGUUCGGCACAUGAAAAAACAUGUUAAGGUGCUUAGCUAGAGUCAGUGUGUGUGAUAUAAAACUAGCAGGUGUCUCAUUUACAACUGGUAUUUACCCAGUUAAAGAAUCAUUUGCUUUUUAUAGGCCCUUUGCUGUGGCAGUUUUUCCCCAACCUUCAAUGAGCUGAGGCACAUAUUCUUCAUUAGAAAAAGCUCACGGCACACCACCAAUCAAAAAUGUCAUAAAAAGUAUAGAUACUGAAAUAAUGAGGAUGUUGUUCAGCUGGCUUACUUGCUCACUCGGUUAUCUGGACCUGUUUAGUUGAACACAAAGAAAGCUAUUAUUUUGUUGUUUGAAUGGCAACUAGUAGACAGAUUAAUUCAGGGAUGGGCAAUUUAAAUGAUGGCGGGGGCCACAAUUUUUUUGUCAGUGCUGUCAGGGGGCCACAUGGGAACGUGAUUUCCUUGUCGAGUUUUGUCUUACUGCAGAUCUCUGCCAUUACGUCAUUACUCGCACUGAUCUGUAUUGGUAGAUAUGAAACGUCCAUUUUGAGCUCCGGGCAAGCAGCCAUGCUCAGCUAGGGAGGUCAAUGUCAUCAGUGCAUUCCAUGUGUGUGGAUGGAAAGAAAACCAAAAGACCCAAGGAUACCAGUACAUUGUGCUGCAUACAAUUACAAUUGAACUGGGAGUCCCUUUAUAUAAAAAAGAAAAAGUUUGUUGCUUUUUCAAAAGUCCUUUAUUGAUAGCAUACAUUUUGCCGUUGACAAAACAGUAACUCUCAUGAAAAUUGAUUGAGAAAUUAUCAAUUUAGGUUAAUUUCAGUGGCCAUGGAUUGCCUUCAGUAGGAACGUCGACCUCCCCAACAUGGCCACCACUUAGGCACGUUGCGGGCGACUAGAGCGCGUGGGCAUAACUAGUGUACAUAUCUAUGAUUACGCUCUCUUCCUGCUGAUUUUCAUCAUGGCGAGAUCUGCUGUAUUGACGCAUGGUGUUAUUACAACAUAAAACUGUUUUGUUAUGGCAGAGGAAAUGUAUUUAUCAUUAAAAAAAACAAUCAUCCAGGGGCCACUUUGAGUGUAAGCGCUGGCCACGUUUCCUCUACCAAGGUAUUAUUUUUUGGCUGACCGCACAAAGAGGGGGAGAUGAGGAUAGUGGUUAAAACAGGUGAGAACAUGAUCAGGUGGUCAAGAAGAAUAUAAUAUAGGCAUCUUUUAGAUGGUGGUUCGGGACGCAGAAGUGGGUAGCGGCCUCAUUUUGGGUGGUAACAAACAGCUAGUUAAAAUGUAUAUGGUCAUACUCAUGUUCUGAUUGUUUCAGUACAUUACAGAGGCGUGCAUAGUUCGCACAUGGAACAUAUUAGAUCAGCCAAGUUACAGGAAAUGUUACUCACUUGUGCUUUAGUCACUGGUUUACUCUGUAAACAAAAAGAGUGCAGCUCAGCCUCUGGCUAGUGGGCGUCCUGGCUAGCGAUAUGCUUUUGCCGGUAUGUCCAACUAAUUGGAAAUGGCUAUUUUUAAACAAAAUAAUUGUUUUUAUUGUCUUUAUAUAAAAGUGGGUCAUGACUUUGCAACAAUAGGAAAAUGUGUGACAACAGUUGAGAACCACUUUGAGACCACAUUUAUUGGUUUGCCAAUAUUUAUCUACUCAAUUUUUAAAAUCUGCCCUGUCCCACUCACUGCACAUGGCAAUUUUCCAUAUUUACCAUGUAUAGUUUACAUCGAAAAUCUAUGUGUUUUAGAAACUGUGCAAAUUCAAAAAAAAAAAGAUAAAUACAACAUGGUCAUUGUUUGAGUGUAAAUGACCCAAAGGAAUUUUAGAAACCUCAAAUUUGUUGUUACAGUUCACUUCAAUUUAAUAAUUCCUUCAUUCAAAAUCUUUUUACCCUUUAUCACUUAAGAGGUGCAGAACUGCAUUAUUUACGUCACACUGUCAUCUAUUGGCUCAGACAUGCAACAACAUAAGUCACAGAAUCUUGCACUGCGAGCCAUAAGUGCUAUUAUGAUAAUUAUUUAUUUAAAUCGAGUCGACUGGAGUCACUGUGGGAGCACGGUGAACCACUGGUUAGCACAUCUGCCUCAGUUCUGAGGACCCGGGUUCAAAUCCGGCCUCGGCUGUGUGGAGUUUCGAUGUUCUCCCCUUGCCUGGGUGGGUUUUCUCCGGUUACUCCGGUUUCCUCCCACAUCCCAAAAACAUGCUUGGUAGGUUCAUUGGCGACUCUAAAUUCCCCGUAGGGGUGAAUGUGAGUGCGAAUGGUUGUUUGUUUCUCUGUGCCCUCCGAUUGGCUGAGUUCAGGGUGUACCCCGCCUCUCGCCCAGAGUCAGCUGGGAUAGGCUCCAGCACGCCCGUGACCCUAGUGAGGGUAAGCUGUACAGAAAAUGGAUAGAGGGAUAGAGUCACUGUUUUGUAAAUUCACCUGACAAAAACUAAAAGACUUGAGGCUCCAGUUGGACUUGAGACAUGAUGAAAAGUUCAGGUUAGUUCUCAGGGCAUUUAAUCGAUUGCAAAUGGACUGUUCCAGUUGUCUUUUUCUAUCAUCCACCUUGCUCUUGUCCCCUCAGGAACUAGAUGUACUUUUUACAAACGACCAGCUGGGGUAACCGCAGGUUUUGAGCAUCCUCUGCUGGGCCUUUUUGAGGACGGAGUUGAUGUUGAUCGGCCACUUCAGGUCCUGAGAGACUGUAAUUCCCAGGAACUUGAAGGUCUCGAUGGUUGACACAAGGCAGCUGGACAGCGUGAGGGGCAGCUGUGGCGAAGGAUGCCUCCUGAAGUCCAUGAUCAUCUCUACAGUCUUGAGCGUGUUCAGCUCCAGGUUGUGUCGGCCGCACCACAACUCCAGGCGCUCCACUUCCUGUCGACAACCUUGGGGCGCCCCAGUGCUGAUGCUGCGUGUGGAUGAGGUGGUCUCCCCCAGCCUCACCUGCUGUGUCCUGCCCGUCAGAAAGCUGUAAAUCCACUGGCAGAUGGCAGGCGAGAUGCUGAGAUGGAGAAGCUUGGAGGAAAGGAGUUCAGGGAUGAUGGUGUUGAAUGCUGAGCUGAAGUCCACAAACAGGAUCCUCGCGUAGGUCCCUGCAAUCCUGUUCGUGGAUGGUCAACGCAGAAGUCAGAGGUGUGAUUGUGGUCGGUGGUGCGGCUGGGUGGGUGUGGGGUGUGAAAGUGUCCUUUUCAAAUCUGCAGUAGAAGGUAUUCAAGUCGUUGGCUAGUUUGCUAUUGUUCUCAGCUUGGGGUGAUCGUCGCUUGUAAUUGGUCAGCGAUUGGAAUGCAUGCCAGAGUGAUUUAGAGUCGUUAGUGCUAAACUGUUUUACCAACCUUGCUGCAUAGUUUCUCUUUGCAAUGUUACUUUCUUUAGUCAGCUGGUUUCUAGCUCGAUUAUACAGGGCCCUGUCCCCGCUCUGAUAUGCGUCCUCCUUGGCUUGGCGAAGUUGCUUAAGUUUGGCAGUGAACCACGGCUUGUUGUUAUUGAAUGUGCGAAAUGACUUUGUUGGUACACACGCAUCUUCAUAGAAACUAAUAUAGGAUGUGACAGUGUCCGUAUAUUCAUCCAGGCUGCCAGCUGAAUUUUCAAAGACAUUCCAGUCUGUGCAAUCUAAACGGCUUUGAAGUUCUAUCUUUGCUUCUUCAUUGUUUUCACUGUAGGCUUCACGCAUUUAAGUUCUUGCCUGUAUGUCGUCGGUUACUCACUCUCUAGUAUUGUUUCUGUUUUUGUGUUUUUCAUUCGUCUUUGGAGACAUGACACGACUCACUUACACAAGGGGAGACUUGCUAACCAUCAAGGAGGCUACUCCGGACUUUCUUUCACCAACUUUCGCAAAUGCGCUCAGUUUUUUCCCCAAGUUACUCACCGGAGUGCGUGGGGGGUUCUUUCAGUACAGGAAUUGAAUCAGUACUUCUACUGUACUUUUACUUUACUUUUAUUUUUUUCCCCCACACAAGUAUCUGCAUGUGUACUUAAGAACAGAGUGUGAGUACUUCUGCCUCCUGUGGCUGUUUUGCACAUCUCUUUCAUGCCAUUAUUGCUGUCUUGGGUGUUUAUUACUUGCCACUGAAUGAUUUGCGCACAUUCCUCUGUUGGUGAUCAAUUCAGUUAAUAAUUAUUGCACGAUUUUGAGCUUACAUUCGCCUGUCUUUGGUGCGCGCAGCGUGGGUUUAGUUCCCACUCAGUGACGGUGUGAACGUGAAUGCUUGUCCAUCUCUUUACUGUGUGCGCCCUGCGACCGGUUCAGGGUGUAGUCUGCUGGCUUAGGCUCCAUUGCCCCGUGACCCUGAGCAGGAUAAGCGGUAUUGAGAAUGGUUGGCUGGAUUUAUAGGUUUCAAAAUUAAUUAAAUAAAUAAAUUACUAUACACAUUCGUGUCCCUCAAGAAGAAAUUCAACUCACACUCCGAUGUAUUAUUGUUGCACACCAUGCACACAAUCGAUUUGUGUACAUGUCCUAAAUGUACAGUAUAUUUUGUUACAGUGUCUUUUGUUUUUGUUUUUGCCGUAGUAAUAAAGUGACACCGUGUUUUAACAUA
This is an RNA transcript of Phyllopteryx taeniolatus (common seadragon), 11148 nucleotides long. It is a transcript of the gene named zinc finger protein 614-like, with no coding region annotated. The record is from RefSeq and is a predicted model, not a curated record. The transcript is spliced from 5 exons. Lineage: Eukaryota; Metazoa; Chordata; Actinopteri; Syngnathiformes; Syngnathidae.